UAGGGAAUCUUCGGCAAUGGGGGCAACCCUGACCGAGCAACGCCGCGUGAGUGAAGAAGGUUUUCGGAUCGUAAAGCUCUGUUGUAAGUCAAGAACGGGUGUGAGAGUGGAAAGUUCACACUGUGACGGUAGCUUACCAGAAAGGGACGGCUAACUACGUGCCAGCAGCCGCGGUAAUACGUAGGUCCCGAGCGUUGUCCGGAUUUAUUGGGCGUAAAGCGAGCGCAGGCGGUUUGAUAAGUCUGAAGUUAAAGGCUGUGGCUCAACCAUAGUUCGCUUUGGAAACUGUCAAACUUGAGUGCAGAAGGGGAGAGUGGAAUUCCAUGUGUAGCGGUGAAAUGCGUAGAUAUAUGGAGGAACACCGGUGGCGAAAGCGGCUCUCUGGUCUGUAACUGACGCUGAGGCUCGAAAGCGUGGGGAGCGAACAGGAUUAGAUACCCUGGUAGUCCACG
RNAcentral lists this ribosomal RNA (452 nucleotides) under uncultured bacterium. RNAcentral describes it as "partial 16S ribosomal RNA". It matches the Rfam family "Bacterial small subunit ribosomal RNA", at positions 355 to 799 of the family's 1533-position model. The record is from RNAcentral.